Molecule: transfer RNA, 72 nt
Filed under: Bos taurus (domestic cattle)
Lineage: Eukaryota; Metazoa; Chordata; Mammalia; Artiodactyla; Bovidae
Also listed under: 2 other names
Rfam family: tRNA
About the family: Transfer RNA (tRNA) molecules are approximately 80 nucleotides in length. Their secondary structure includes four short double-helical elements and three loops (D, anti-codon, and T loops). Further hydrogen bonds mediate the characteristic L-shaped molecular structure. tRNAs have two regions of fundamental functional importance: the anti-codon, which is responsible for specific mRNA codon recognition, and the 3' end, to which the tRNAs corresponding amino acid is attached (by aminoacyl-tRNA synthetases). tRNAs cope with the degeneracy of the genetic code in two manners: having more than one tRNA (with a specific anti-codon) for a particular amino acid; and 'wobble' base-pairing, i.e. permitting non-standard base-pairing at the 3rd anti-codon position.
Source: Rfam by way of RNAcentral
UCCCUAGUGGCUCAGACAGUAAAGCGUCUGUCUGCAAUCCAGGAGACUCGGGUUCGAUUCCUGAGUUGGGAA